AAGCGUGCGUAGGCCGGUUUGUCGCAUCUCCUGUAAAAUCCCAAGGCUCAACCUUGGGCCUGCUGGAGAUAUGGGCAAACUAGAGACUGGAAGAGGCAAGCGGAAUUGCUGGUGUAGGGGUUAAAUCCGUUAAUAUCAGCAGGAACGCCAAAAGUGAAGACAGCUUGCUAGGACAGUUCUGACGCUAAGGCACGAAAGCGUGGGGAGCGAACGAGAUUAGAUACCUCGGUAGUCCACGCCGUAAACGAUGGAUGCUGAGCAUCGGGAGUUUCGACCCUCUCGGUGCUGUCUACCUAAGCUAACGCCUUAAGCAUCCCGCCUGGGGAGUACGGUCGCAAGAUUAAAACUCAAAGGAAUAGACGGGGACCCGCACAAGCGGUGGAGCAUGUGGUUUAAUUCGACGAUAAGCGUGGAACCUCACCAAGGUUUGACAUCUAGCUGCAGUCCUCUGGAAACAGAGGGUCCUUCGAGGGUGCUAGACAGAUGCUGCAUGGUUGUCGUCAGCUCGUGUCGUGAGAUGUACGGUUAAGUCCGAAAACGAGCGCAACCCUCAUCCUAUGUUUUAUAUGUCAUAGGAAACUGCCUACUUUAAGUAGGAGGAGGGCGAGGAUGACGUCAAAUCAGCAUGGUUCUUACACCUUGGGCUACACACGUGCUACAAUGGGAAAUACAAAGGGACGCCAAGCCGUAAGGUGGAGCAAAUCCCAAAAAGUUUCCCCCAGUUCGGAUUGAGGUCUGCAACUCGACCUCAUGAAGCCGGAAUCGCUAGUAAACGCGUAUCAGCCACGGCGCGUUGAAUACGUUCUCGGG
Molecule: ribosomal RNA, 810 nt
Filed under: uncultured bacterium
Lineage: Bacteria
Description: bacterial SSU rRNA
Rfam family: Bacterial small subunit ribosomal RNA
Source: RNAcentral